This 263-nucleotide long non-coding RNA is filed under the name Pan troglodytes (chimpanzee). Its description in RNAcentral is "long non-coding RNA NONPTRT000188". Lineage: Eukaryota; Metazoa; Chordata; Mammalia; Primates; Hominidae. The record is from RNAcentral.
GCGAUCUUGGCUCACUGUAACCUCUGCCCUCCCAGGUUCAAGCAAUUUUCCUGCCUCAGCCUCUGGAGUAGCUGGGAUUACAGGCGCACGCCACCAUGCCUGGCUAAUUUUUGUAUUUUUAGUAGAGACGGGGUUUCACCAUGUUGACCAGGCUGGUCCUGAACUCCUGACCUCAAGCCAGCCUCCUUCCUCAGAGAGGUGCCUGGGAGAGAUGAAAUGUCCCCUAGUUAGAGGGGACAGCUCCCCACGCCAGGCUGAGUUGA